RNAcentral lists this long non-coding RNA (471 nucleotides) under Mus musculus (house mouse). Its description in RNAcentral is "long non-coding RNA chr9:83409659-83410130". Lineage: Eukaryota; Metazoa; Chordata; Mammalia; Rodentia; Muridae. The record is from RNAcentral.
AUGCAGAUCUUUGUGAAGACCCUUACGGGGAAAACCAUCACGCUCGAGGUUGAACCCUCGGACACUAUAGAAAAUGUAAAGGCCAAGAUCCAGGAUAAGGAAGGAAUUCCUCCUGAUCAGCAGAGGCUGAUCUUUGCUGGUAAGCAGCUGGAAGAUGGCCGGACUUUGUCUGACUACAACAUUCAAAAGGAGUCCACCCUUCAUCUGGUGUUGAGACUUCGGGGUGGUGCUAAGAAAAGGAAGAAGAAGUCUUACACCACUCCCAAGAAGAACAAGCAUAAGAGGAAGAAGGUUAAGUUGGCUGUGCUGAAAUACUAUAAGGUGGAUGAAAAUGGCAAAAUUAGCCGACUUCGUCGAGAGUGUCCUUCUGAUGAGUGUGGUGCUGGAGUUUUCAUGGGAAGCCACUUUGACAGGCAUUACUGUGGCAAGUGUUGUCUGACUUACUGCUUCAACAAACCAGAAGACAAGUAG